CAUCAUUUGCUUUUUAUGGAUGUAGGGGUGAGGAUAGUAAAAUUAUUAUUUCCUUUAAAUAUCUUUGUCAAUUUCUUUUAAUCUUACAGUUUACAGCUUCCUUUUCACAGUGAAUCUACCUUUCAAAGAAUUACUUAUUCUUUGAAAACUUCACAAAGGCAUCCUACAUGAUGCAUUUUCAUGUUAUUUACAGCAAAUACGUAAAUCAUAUACUAAUGACAGUAGCAUCUUUGUAGUUCAUUCUAAAAUAUGGAUGAAAUAUGAGUUUUCUUCCAAGGUACAAAACGUCAUUAAGGGCUCAGGUGGUUAAAAUCAACAUGAAAAAUACAUGCAGCAUUUUCUCCCCUUAAAUGCAAUAAUGUAAUCAGAUUUCAAGUCAUCUUACCUACCUCACUUACAGCUUUAUGGAGAUUAAUUAGUUUUUAGACCCCAGUCACAUGAUCUUUUCUGACUGUCAUUUAGCUGGCUGACUAGAACCUGUAAGCUGUCUCCUGCCCCAAAGGACAGAUUAAAUUUUAGUAUUGUUUGUCUUCUUUCUUUGAUUUAAAGUUGUAUUUUUAAAGUUAUGGUUUAUUUUAUUUUGUUGUUAAUUGGAAAUUUACUGUAACCUUGUUUGGGGGAUGUUAAAUAUUUGAAAUAAUAAAUAUUAGGUAAAACAAAAUGUUUUCCCUCUUUUGCUAUAAAGAUGGUUAUUAUACAGACACCUAAAACAUAGGUUUUUAUUAUUUAUGAUUCAGAUGUUACAAGUAUUCAAAUAAGUUUUCUGCCACAGAAUGGCACUUUGCAGGGGAAGUUACUCAGGAGCUCCAGGUUAGGAACACUAGUAGUUGGUGGUCCCAAAACAAAUUUCUAAGAUCAAAAUGAUGAUUAAAAAUAUUCCUAAUUACUUGGAAAUUUAAAAACCGAAAAAGGGUAUAAGUUGCCUCAGUGACAAAAUUUCUGUUUAAAAAAUAACACCCACAAACAUAGAAAACAAAAUUCAACACAACAAAAAAUUAAUAGUUAUGCAUUUGUUAUUCAUUAACAAUGUAUUUUCUAUGAUUACUGUUAUCAUUUGUUAACUCUGUUGCUGACUGAGCUGAGGAUUAAAAUGGAAAGAUCACAGCCUUAGUUUUUAUGUUAGUACACUUAGCUGUGGAUUCUCAAUAGGAC
Molecule: long non-coding RNA, 1152 nt
Filed under: Bos taurus (domestic cattle)
Lineage: Eukaryota; Metazoa; Chordata; Mammalia; Artiodactyla; Bovidae
Description: long non-coding RNA NONBTAT011134
Source: RNAcentral